ACACUCCGAAAGGGGUGCUAAUACCGGAUACGAAGUCUGUGCCGCAUGGUACGGAUUUGAAAGAUGGCCUCUAUUUAUAAGCUAUCGCCGGGGGAUGGGCCUGCGUCCGAUUAGCUGGUUGGUGGGGUAACGGCCUACCAAGGCGACGAUCGGUAGCCGGUCUGAGAGGAUGAACGGCCACAUUGGGACUGAGACACGGCCCAGACUCCUACGGGAGGCAGCAGUGGGGAAUCUUCCGCAAUGGGCGCAAGCCUGACGGAGCAACGCCGCGUGAGUGAGGAAGUUCUUCGGAACGUAAAGCUCUGUUGUUCCUGACGAACCUCCCCUCUAUCAACAACGGAGGGGACUGACGGUAGGGAACGAGGAAGCCACGGCUAACUACGUGCCAGCCGCGGC
RNAcentral lists this ribosomal RNA (396 nucleotides) under uncultured bacterium. RNAcentral's name for it is "bacterial SSU rRNA". It matches the Rfam family "Bacterial small subunit ribosomal RNA", at positions 146 to 518 of the family's 1533-position model. The record is from RNAcentral.